UCCGAAGGGGGCUAGCGUUGCUCGGAAUCACUGGGCGUAAAGGGUGCGUAGGCGGGUCUUUAAGUCAGGGGUGAAAUCCUGGAGCUCAACUCCAGAACCGCCUUUGAUACUGAGGAUCUUGAGUUCGGGAGAGGUGAGUGGAACUGCGAGUGUAGAGGUGAAAUUCGUAGAUAUUCGCAAGAACACCAGUGGCGAAGGCGGCUCACUGGCUCGGUACUGACGCUGAGGUGCGAAAGCGUGGGGAGCAAACAGG
This 253-nucleotide ribosomal RNA is filed under the name uncultured bacterium. RNAcentral's name for it is "partial 16S ribosomal RNA". It matches the Rfam family "Bacterial small subunit ribosomal RNA", at positions 524 to 776 of the family's 1533-position model. The record is from RNAcentral.